CACCGCGUAGCUCAGUUGGCAGAGCAUUGGGCUAGUAUUCCAAAGGUCGUAGGUUCGAUUCCCACCGUGGUCA
Molecule: non-coding RNA, 73 nt
Organism: Paramuricea clavata
Lineage: Eukaryota; Metazoa; Cnidaria; Anthozoa; Malacalcyonacea; Plexauridae
Source: the annotation of a GenBank genome assembly